This 253-nucleotide ribosomal RNA is filed under the name uncultured bacterium. RNAcentral describes it as "partial 16S ribosomal RNA". It matches the Rfam family "Bacterial small subunit ribosomal RNA", at positions 524 to 776 of the family's 1533-position model. The record is from RNAcentral.
UACGGAAGGGGCAAGCGUUGUUCGGAAUUAUUGGGCGUAAAGGGCGCGUAGGUGGUCUUGUAUGUCUACCGUGAAAGCACACGGCUUAACCGUGUAGAGUCGGUGGAAACUGCAGGACUUGAGGUUGGGAGGGGCUGGUGGAAUUCCCUGUGUAGCGGUGAAAUGCGUAGAGAUCGGGAGGAACACCAGAGGCGAAGGCGGCAACCUGGACAAGCACUGACACUCAACUGCGAAAGCGUGGGGAGCAAACAGG